AACCUGCCCAAGAGAUCGGGAUAACACCUGGAAACAGAUGCUAAUACCGGAUAACAANAGAUGAUGCCUAUCAACUGUUUAAAAGAUGGUUCUGCUAUCACUCUUGGAUGGACCUGCGGUGCAUUAGCUAGUUGGUAGGGUAACGGCCUACCAAGACGAUGAUGCAUAGCCGAGUUGAGAGACUGAUCGGCCACAUUGGGACUGAGACACGCCCAAACUCCUACGGGAGGCAGCAGGC
RNAcentral lists this ribosomal RNA (238 nucleotides) under uncultured Lactobacillus sp. RNAcentral describes it as "partial 16S ribosomal RNA". It matches the Rfam family "Bacterial small subunit ribosomal RNA", at positions 123 to 354 of the family's 1533-position model. Lineage: Bacteria; Bacillati; Bacillota; Bacilli; Lactobacillales; Lactobacillaceae. The record is from RNAcentral.